This is a long non-coding RNA of Octopus sinensis (East Asian common octopus), 147 nucleotides long. RefSeq lists it as uncharacterized. The record is from RefSeq and is a predicted model, not a curated record. Lineage: Eukaryota; Metazoa; Mollusca; Cephalopoda; Octopoda; Octopodidae. The transcript has 3 exons.
AUGUAUGUAUAUAGAAACGAAAUGUUGCUAAAUGAAGAGAAUUAAUGUGAGAAAGAGGGUCUGCCAAAUAUCAACCCAAUAGAGGGACCAACUAUUCGAAUUGACAGUACCUUGAUAAAUAAAGCAAUUAAGGGUACGAAGACAGGG